CAGUCGCCGCGGGAAUACGUAGGUGGCAAGCGUUGUCCGGAAUUAUUGGGCGUAAAGGGCUCGCAGGCGGUUUCUUAAGUCUGAUGUGAAAGCCCCCGGCUCAACCGGGGAGGGUCAUUGGAAACUGGGAAACUUGAGUGCAGAAGAGGAGAGUGGAAUUCCACGUGUAGCGGUGAAAUGCGUAGAGAUGUGGAGGAACACCAGUGGCGAAGGCGACUCUCUGGUCUGUAACUGACUCUGAGGAGCGAAAGCGUGGGAGCGAACAGGAUUAGAUACCCGUGUAGUCCCUGUCUCUUAUACA
This 301-nucleotide ribosomal RNA is filed under the name uncultured bacterium. RNAcentral's name for it is "partial 16S ribosomal RNA". It matches the Rfam family "Bacterial small subunit ribosomal RNA", at positions 509 to 808 of the family's 1533-position model. The record is from RNAcentral.